This 459-nucleotide ribosomal RNA is filed under the name uncultured bacterium. Its description in RNAcentral is "partial 16S ribosomal RNA". It matches the Rfam family "Bacterial small subunit ribosomal RNA", at positions 338 to 795 of the family's 1533-position model. The record is from RNAcentral.
CCUACGGGAGGCAGCAGUGAGGAAUAUUGGUCAAUGGGCGCGAGCCUGAACCAGCCAAGUCGCGUGAGGGAAGACGGCCCUAUGGAUUGUAAACCUCUUUUGUCGGGGAGCAAACGACGCCACGCGUGGCGUUCCGAGAGUACCCGAAGAAAAAGCAUAGGCUAACUCCGUGCCAGCAGCCCCGGUAAUACGGAGGAUGCGAGGGUUAUCCGGAUUUAUUGGGUUUAAAGGGUGCGCAGGCGGGAUAUCAAGUCAGCGGUAAAAUUGAGGGGCUCAACCUCUUCGAGCCGUUGAAACUGGUUGUCUUGAGUGAGCGAGAAGUAUGCGGAAUGCGUGGUGUAGCGGUGAAAUGCAUAGAUAUCACGCAGAACGCCGAUUGCGAAGGCAGCAUACCGGCGCUCAACUGACGCUCAUGCACGAAAGUGUGGGGAUCGAACAGGAUUAGAUACCCUUGUAGUC